UGUUUUAUGGAGUUUUAUGAA
RNAcentral lists this non-coding RNA (21 nucleotides) under Caenorhabditis elegans. The record is from RNAcentral. Lineage: Eukaryota; Metazoa; Nematoda; Chromadorea; Rhabditida; Rhabditidae.